This 79-nucleotide transfer RNA is filed under the name Coccidioides posadasii C735 delta SOWgp. RNAcentral describes it as "tRNA-Leu (TAG) (tRNA-Leu-TAG-1-1)". It matches the Rfam family "tRNA". Rfam says of the family: Transfer RNA (tRNA) molecules are approximately 80 nucleotides in length. Their secondary structure includes four short double-helical elements and three loops (D, anti-codon, and T loops). Further hydrogen bonds mediate the characteristic L-shaped molecular structure. tRNAs have two regions of fundamental functional importance: the anti-codon, which is responsible for specific mRNA codon recognition, and the 3' end, to which the tRNAs corresponding amino acid is attached (by aminoacyl-tRNA synthetases). tRNAs cope with the degeneracy of the genetic code in two manners: having more than one tRNA (with a specific anti-codon) for a particular amino acid; and 'wobble' base-pairing, i.e. permitting non-standard base-pairing at the 3rd anti-codon position. Lineage: Eukaryota; Fungi; Ascomycota; Eurotiomycetes; Onygenales; Onygenaceae. The record is from RNAcentral. RNAcentral also lists the same sequence under 11 other names.
GGCAAGGUGGCCGAGUGGUUAUGGCGUUGGUUUUAGGCACCAAUGGGAAACCGCGUGGGUUCGAAUCCCACCCUUGUCA